RNAcentral lists this ribosomal RNA (808 nucleotides) under uncultured Sphingobacteriales bacterium. RNAcentral's name for it is "bacterial SSU rRNA". It matches the Rfam family "Bacterial small subunit ribosomal RNA", at positions 58 to 858 of the family's 1533-position model. Lineage: Bacteria; Pseudomonadati; Bacteroidota; Sphingobacteriia; Sphingobacteriales. The record is from RNAcentral.
CAAGUCGUGGGGCAGCAUGACUGUAGCAAUACAGUUGAUGGCGACCGGCAAACGGGUGCGGAACACGUACACAACCUUCCUUUAAGUGGGGAAUAGCCCGGGGAAACCCGGAUUAAUACCCCGUAACAUAAUGAAGUGGCAUCACUUUAUUAUUAUAGCAGCAAUGCGCUUUAAGAUGGGUGUGCGACUGAUUAGGCAGUUGGCGGGGUAACGGCCCACCAAACCUACGAUCAGUAACUGGUGUGAGAGCACGACCAGUCACACGGGCACUGAGACACGGGCCCGACUCCUACGGGAGGCAGCAGUAAGGAAUAUUGGUCAAUGGACGCAAGUCUGAACCAGCCAUGCCGCGUGGAGGAUGAAGGUCCUCUGGAUUGUAAACUUCUUUUAUUUGGGAAGAAAUCCACGAAUUCUUUUGUGGUUGACGGUACCAGAUGAAUAAGCACCGGCUAACUCCGUGCCAGCAGCCGCGGUAAUACGGAGGGUGCAAGCGUUAUCCGGAUUCACUGGGUUUAAAGGGUGCGUAGGUGGGUUGGUAAGUCAGUGGUGAAAUCUCCAGGCUUAACUUGGAAACUGCCAUUGAUACUAUCAAUCUUGAAUACCGUGGAGGUCAGCGGAAUAUGUCAUGUAGCGGUGAAAUGCUUAGAUAUGACAUAGAACACCAAUCGCGAAGGCAGCUGGCUACACGAAUAUUGACACUGAUGCACGAAAGCGUGGGGAUCAAACAGGAUUAGAUACCCUGGUAAUCCACGCCCUAAACGAUGGAUACUCGACAUACGCGAUAUACUGUGUGUGUCUGAGCGAAAGC